UAUGAUUUAAUAAUAACAGCUUAUUUAUGCUCGUAAUUGGUCGAGCGUCUCUACUUGGCACCGUAAUGCCAAACAAUAAGCAAGGAGUCAGGCUCU
Molecule: non-coding RNA, 96 nt
Filed under: Pseudolactococcus raffinolactis
Lineage: Bacteria; Bacillati; Bacillota; Bacilli; Lactobacillales; Streptococcaceae
Description: Lactococcus raffinolactis Guanine sequence
Rfam family: Purine riboswitch aptamer
About the family: Riboswitches are metabolite binding domains within certain messenger RNAs that serve as precision sensors for their corresponding targets. Allosteric rearrangement of mRNA structure is mediated by ligand binding, and this results in modulation of gene expression.
Source: RNAcentral